RNAcentral lists this long non-coding RNA (406 nucleotides) under Ananas comosus (pineapple). RNAcentral describes it as "long non-coding RNA (ACOM_LNC033419)". Lineage: Eukaryota; Viridiplantae; Streptophyta; Magnoliopsida; Poales; Bromeliaceae. The record is from RNAcentral.
CUAGGAGCCCAUUGGCCCUACUCUCAUCUCAUACAGUUUCUUAAUUUCUUGCAGAUAUUUAUUCUUAUCGUUGGAUUCUAAUGUUUUUCUGUCUGUACUGUCUGUUUCAUGGUAGAGCGGAGCACCAAAUUGCCCAAAGCAAAUGAAACAUUCCAGAUAGUGCGAAUCAACCUUAACGCCUCGUUGCUGAAUCGAUCGUACCCUUCCGAUCGAACCUCCUCCUCCUCCUAGCAGUCUCCUUCGGCAGUCUCCUUUGGCCAAUACCUGUUUGCGUCGGCUAUUUGAUCAUGGAUUUGCAGAUAAACUUCGAUGAUUACAUAAUCAAUCUUAUGAAGAGAUUGUUAUAGUUGAUGUAAUAGAUGGUUGCAUUGUGAUAAAAUCAUGUUUGUAUUUUAUUAAGUACUAU